GCGGGCGUGAUGGAAUUGGUAGACAUAUCGGACUUAAAAUCCGAAGGGCCUAGUCCCGUGCGGGUUCGAGUCCCGCCGCCCGCACCA
Molecule: transfer RNA, 87 nt
Filed under: Nioella halotolerans
Lineage: Bacteria; Pseudomonadati; Pseudomonadota; Alphaproteobacteria; Rhodobacterales; Paracoccaceae
Description: Rhodobacteraceae bacterium W635 tRNA-Leu
Rfam family: tRNA
About the family: Transfer RNA (tRNA) molecules are approximately 80 nucleotides in length. Their secondary structure includes four short double-helical elements and three loops (D, anti-codon, and T loops). Further hydrogen bonds mediate the characteristic L-shaped molecular structure. tRNAs have two regions of fundamental functional importance: the anti-codon, which is responsible for specific mRNA codon recognition, and the 3' end, to which the tRNAs corresponding amino acid is attached (by aminoacyl-tRNA synthetases). tRNAs cope with the degeneracy of the genetic code in two manners: having more than one tRNA (with a specific anti-codon) for a particular amino acid; and 'wobble' base-pairing, i.e. permitting non-standard base-pairing at the 3rd anti-codon position.
Source: RNAcentral